CUUCCCGUAGCGCAGCCGGAUAGCGCGCGAGGUUCCGAACCUUGAGGCCGUUGGUUCAAGUCCAACCGGGAAGGCCA
RNAcentral lists this transfer RNA (77 nucleotides) under Desulfurellales bacterium. RNAcentral describes it as "tRNA-Arg". It matches the Rfam family "tRNA". From Rfam's summary of the family: Transfer RNA (tRNA) molecules are approximately 80 nucleotides in length. Their secondary structure includes four short double-helical elements and three loops (D, anti-codon, and T loops). Further hydrogen bonds mediate the characteristic L-shaped molecular structure. tRNAs have two regions of fundamental functional importance: the anti-codon, which is responsible for specific mRNA codon recognition, and the 3' end, to which the tRNAs corresponding amino acid is attached (by aminoacyl-tRNA synthetases). tRNAs cope with the degeneracy of the genetic code in two manners: having more than one tRNA (with a specific anti-codon) for a particular amino acid; and 'wobble' base-pairing, i.e. permitting non-standard base-pairing at the 3rd anti-codon position. The record is from RNAcentral. Lineage: Bacteria; Pseudomonadati; Campylobacterota; Desulfurellia; Desulfurellales.